CGUGUAGGCGGCUUGAUAAGUCAGAUGUGAAAGCCCUGGGCUCAACCCGGGAAGUGCAUUUGAAACUGUCAUGCUGGAGUAAGGGAGAGGGAAGUGGAAUUCCUGGUGUAGAGGUGAAAUUCGUAGAUAUCAGGAGGAACACCGGUGGCGAAGGCGACUUCCUGGCCCUAUACUGACGCUGAGACGCGAGAGCGUGGGGAGCAAACAGGAUUAGAUACCCUGGUAGUCCACGCCGUAAACGAUGUUCACUAGGUGUUGGGGGUAUUGACCCCCUCAGUGCCGGAGCUAACGCAUUAAGUGAACCGCCUGGGGAGUACGGUCGCAAGACUAAA
This 332-nucleotide ribosomal RNA is filed under the name uncultured bacterium. RNAcentral's name for it is "bacterial SSU rRNA". It matches the Rfam family "Bacterial small subunit ribosomal RNA", at positions 568 to 898 of the family's 1533-position model. The record is from RNAcentral.